UACGGGGGGGAGCAAGCGUUGUUCGGAUUUACUGGGCGUAAAGGGCGCGUAGGCGGUCGUGACAAGUCACUUGUGAAAUCUCCGGGCUUAACUCGGAACGGUCAAGUGAUACUGUCGGACUAGAGUACAGAAGGGGCAACUGGAAUUCUCGGUGUAGCGGUGAAAUGCGCAGAUAUCGGGAGGAACACCAAUGGCGAAGGCAGCUCGCUGGGACGUUACGUGACGCUGGAGACGCGAAAGCGUGGGGAGCAAACAGG
This 257-nucleotide ribosomal RNA is filed under the name uncultured bacterium. RNAcentral describes it as "partial 16S ribosomal RNA". It matches the Rfam family "Bacterial small subunit ribosomal RNA", at positions 524 to 776 of the family's 1533-position model. The record is from RNAcentral.